GGUCAACCAGGAAUCCAUCUGGAUUGGAGCAACAGACAAGAUAAGCAACUCAGCUGGUCUGUACACUUGGCCAGAUGGCUCUUCAUUAAGCAUGACAAAUUGGGCCCCAGGACAGCCAGACAACCAGUUUUUCAGCCUGGGAGGGAACUGUGUCGGAAUCCUAGACACAUCAAACAAUGGCGAGUGGAGUACGGCACCGUGCACAUCACAGAGGAAAUUCAUCUGUGAGAA
Long non-coding RNA from Acanthaster planci (crown-of-thorns starfish), 231 nucleotides. The record is from RefSeq and is a predicted model, not a curated record. NCBI's taxonomy places the organism in Eukaryota, Metazoa, Echinodermata, Asteroidea, Valvatida, Acanthasteridae.